Molecule: ribosomal RNA, 450 nt
Filed under: uncultured bacterium
Lineage: Bacteria
Description: bacterial SSU rRNA
Rfam family: Bacterial small subunit ribosomal RNA
Source: RNAcentral
GUGGGGAAUUUUGGACAAUGGGCGCAAGCCUGAUCCAGCAAUGCCGCGUGCAGGAAGAAGGCCUUCGGGUUGUAAACUGCUUUUGUAUGGAACGAAACGGUCCGGGUUAAUACCCUGGGCUAAUGACGGUACCGUAAGAAUAAGCACCGGCUAACUACGUACCAGUAGCCGCGGUAAUACGUAGGGUGCAAGCGUUAAUCGGAAUUACUGGGCGUAAAGCGUGCGCAGGCGGUUUUGUAAGACAGGCGUGAAAUCCCCGGGGUCAACCUGGGAAUUGCGCUUGUGACUGCAAGGCUGGAGUGCGGCAGAGGGGGAUGGAAUUCCGCGUGUAGCAGUGAAAUGCGUAGAUAUGCGGAGGAACACCGAUGGCGAAGGCAAUCCCCUGGGCCUGCACUGACGCUCAUGCACGAAAGCGUGGGGAGCAAACAGGAUUAGAAACCCCAGUAGUCC